UGCAAGUCGAGCGGGCGUAGCAGUACGUCAGCGGCAGACGGGUGAGUAACGCGUGGGAACAUACCUUUUGGUUCGGAACAACACAGGGAAACUUGUGCUAAUACCGGAUAAGCCCUUACGGGGAAAGAUUUAUCGCCGAAAGAUUGGCCCGCGUCUGAUUAGCUAGUUGGUGAGGUAACGGCUCACCAAGGCGACGAUCAGUAGCUGGUCUGAGAGGAUGAUCAGCCACAUUGGGACUGAGACACGGCCCAAACUCCUACGGGAGGCAGCAGUGGGGAAUAUUGGACAAUGGGCGCAAGCCUGAUCCAGCCAUGCCGCGUGAGUGAUGAAGGCCCUAGGGUUGUAAAGCUCUUUUGUGCGGGAAGAUAAUGACGGUACCGCAAGAAUAAGCCCCGGCUAACUUCGUGCCAGCAGCCGCGGUAAUACGAAGGGGGCUAGCGUUGCUCGGAAUCACUGGGCGUAAAGGGUGCGUAGGCGGGUCUUUAAGUCAGGGGUGAAAUCCUGGAGCUCAACUCCAGAACUGCCUUUGAUACUGAAGAUCUUGAGUUCGGGAGAGGUGAGUGGAACUGCGAGUGUAGAGGUGAAAUUCGUAGAUAUUCG
Molecule: ribosomal RNA, 600 nt
Filed under: Bradyrhizobium sp. Is-D302
Lineage: Bacteria; Pseudomonadati; Pseudomonadota; Alphaproteobacteria; Hyphomicrobiales; Nitrobacteraceae
Description: bacterial SSU rRNA
Rfam family: Bacterial small subunit ribosomal RNA
Source: RNAcentral